GAUGAACGCUAGCGGCAGGCCUAAUACAUGCAAGACGAACGGUAAGUUGAGUAGCAAUACUUAGCCAAGAGUGUCGUACGGGUGCGUAACACGUAUGCAACCUACCCUAUACAGGAGGAUAGCCUAGGGAAACCUGGAUUAACCCUUCAUAGUAUUAUUGGAUGGCAUCAUUUGAUAAUUAAAACUGAGGUGGUAUAGGAUGGGCAUGCGUCUGAUUAGUUAGUUGGCGGGGUAAUGGCCCACCAAGACGAUGAUCAGUAGGGGUUCUGAGAGGAAGAUCCCCCACACUGGCACUGAGAUACGGGCCAGACUCCUACGGGAGCAGCGGUAGGGAAUAUUGGUCAAUGGAUGCAAGUCUGAACCAGCAAUGCCGCGUGAGUGAAGAAGGCCUUCGGGUUGUAAAGGCUCUUUUGUCAGGAAGAACGUGAGUUCUAAUACAGCUUG
This 444-nucleotide ribosomal RNA is filed under the name uncultured bacterium. Its description in RNAcentral is "bacterial SSU rRNA". It matches the Rfam family "Bacterial small subunit ribosomal RNA", at positions 28 to 469 of the family's 1533-position model. The record is from RNAcentral.